CUUCAAGUAAACGUCUAUGGCACGAUAAAGACCAUCAUCCAGGGGCCGGGCAUAUUCAGGAACAGCAGCAGCAAGAGCCUGAAACUUGGGGAGCUUCAAAUUCACAUCAGGAGCAACCUCUGCCAGGUAUCCAUCGAUCAGUUUGGCCACCAACGUGAUUGGUGUUAAUGAUGGCGAUCCAAUCAAAUGGCUAUCAUCUACUGAACAUGGAGACGCCCCACCUGUAAUUUGAUCCAUGGCAAG
RNAcentral lists this unclassified non-coding RNA (243 nucleotides) under Hevea brasiliensis (rubber tree). The record is from RNAcentral. Lineage: Eukaryota; Viridiplantae; Streptophyta; Magnoliopsida; Malpighiales; Euphorbiaceae.